GAUUUUAUGAGUUGGAGAAUGAAGACGAUAUGUGGUUUCCUUAACUGUGACUGAAAGAAGAUGGAUUUGUGAGAAAACUCUGAUGAACAAAUCUUACUCCUGAUGUCAGUGGUUUUCCUCAUUUGAUGAUGUGUCAGCUGUAACUUCUCAACUACUGUGUGUUGCAAUGAGCUAACCAGUGGAAUUUGUGUUGACAUCUGAUAUUACUCUUUGGGAUAAAUUCAGUGAUCCAUGAAGUCCAAGCAGUGCAGAACCUUCUGAAACUGUAUUUGGUUGUACUUCCCAAGAGCUUGGUCAGCAAUGUCAACGCAUUAUGGAAUCAAUGGGGAACAGGAAGACAACAACCAGGAAACUUUGGUCACCGUCUUCAUGCUUCCUUUUGCAAGAGGACAGCUGUUAAGAAGAGCCAUACAGUUCCUGGAAAAGUUGUCUUCGUACCUGGCCUUCGACAGCUCAGAGAAGACGGUAAUCAAACUCAAAUCUCGAGUCGUUUUAUGCAAAUUAGGGAAAAGUCAUGACUGAGGCUGGACUGCAUAUGAUUUUGAUUGGCUGCUUAGCAAAAUCUCCUCUGAGGAAUACUCAUCAUCAAAACAACAGCACAAAUCAAGAGGGGGCUUAAUCCUGACAGCGAUGAACGUCAUGGCAAAGAUACCAUUGACUUUAAUAGGGUUAGUAUUUCUCCAAAAUUUUCAUGAAGAUUUGCAUGAGGAUGCUCCUAGACUUCUUCACGAGCCAUCCUAAGUGCUUACUAUUGAAGAAAAGGUCCAUUGCGAUGGCAAGUACAGUCGGUGAAGCAGUGUGAUUGUGACAGAAACAAGACUGGAGAAAGGUCUCGGAGCAAAUCCAGAACGUACGUACGUGCGCAUUUGCACUCAGAGAAACCAAAGCGAAGGGAUGGGCAUAUGGAUGCCUGGAUACCUGUCUAAUAUGGAAUCAAGGUGCAGCUGAAACUUAUACCCAGACCCAAGUGCGCCAGUCCUGGCUAACUGACUUUGAUGCUCCCAUGACCUGAAUCAACAAAUAGGUUUAAGAUGGCUGCAUGGAUACUGCUCUCACUAAUUGUUUUCUACUGACUCAGAACCUGGAAUGCUACCUUCAGAUUAUGGAAGCUGGCAAAAUUCAUAACCUGGCAACAAGGAAAAUAUUCACAUAACUCUCGGCAAGAAACCAAAUCAAACUAUUCUUUUUAAUUGCAGAUUCAGGCACUUCGUCUAAUUUUGGCAGUCAGUGAGAUUUAAAGACCUCAACGUCUCUGAACAUCAGGCCAAUCCUUCAAGGCUUGCGCGGGCAUAACAAGAUUUGUAUCAGAAAUAAGAAGCUGGCUACAGACGUGGCUGCCAGUCGAGAAGGUCUCUAUGUUACAUUAACACAGUGUUGUCAUUUCUGUAUUGAUCAUAACACUGGCCAGAAAACAAGGGAAGAAGAAUCAACUUUAUAUGAAGUUUCUGCCGACUUGACUCCAGGGACAUCAUGAUUCUUCCCAUUUCAGGAAGACCAUCCUUUUCCAGACGCUGAAAACACUGACCCAGCUGGCAUGGAAAUUUCAUUUUUUCCAACUUAUGGUAAUGGAUUAAAUCAUAAAAAAGAGCCAUAUUACAUCCAUGGAGAUUCACUAGGGUGAUCCGCACUGAAUGGAUUUUUAUAUGGGAUAAAUUUUUUUUCCAAAGUUCAACAAGAGUGAAGAUUAUAUCUCUAUGUGUUUAGGAGCCAAAAAGCAGAUAAUGCCCGCCUCAGACAUAACGUCUUGGGAGCUCUGAGGACUUUAGACCGAGGAAAUUUUAUGGGCCUGCUGAUCUGAACUACUGAGGAGACUUUUGCAAAUGUACCUUCCUCGCAUCAGUUCAUGGGAAGUGUCUGGUGCUGCUCAUAUCAAUGCACAUUUUUUAGCCUUCAGAACUCUCUUUAGAUACAAGAUUUGGCACUUGUAGCUAUUAGAGAUACAUCUCUAAAUGUGAACACGGGCAGAUGCCUUAAUAUUUAAACAGUGUCCAAGUGAUAAUUAGGUUAUGCAACUGGUCUUUAUCUAAACAGAACACAGAAAAGCAAGAGGGGUUUACGGAAGGUUGUUUAACUUGUUUUCAUGUUUUUCUUAAUUUUAAUUGGUCAUCUAAUCAUUCCAUUGUAUUGAUCAACAAUAUCCAGAAAGACACAAACUUAACUGUGCUAAGGAUUAAUCUAAGGAUGCUAUUUAAACAUCUGCACAUCGUGGCCAGAAAACCAUGCUAUUAAACUCAUCUGAGGGCCUGCUGGUGCCAUAAGAGAAGUGUGUUGGGGUGGCUAAGCGUACCAGGUCAGGUCCCUCGUGGCUGAAAAAAAUAAAGUCAUGGCAUGUGGGUAAAACCCCAGAGAUUUCCAGAAAAGACCAUGAUUCUUUUGCCGUUGGUCAAUAAAAUUUUUACUAUUGACUCCCACAGAAGCAACGUUAGGCCAGUACUGCCUGCUUCUGAAAUCCCACCGUUAAUACCAGCCACCUUAAACGUCAGCCUGCUUGCCGCCUUUCCAAAUAUUGGAAAAGCCCUUGAAAUCUCCACCCUUCAGCCCCACUGAAAUCAAAAGAAGAGACUUUAGUUGGUAGGUUUUUGUUUGGCUUGGUUGGUUGGGAUUUUUUUUGUUUUGUGGGUUGUUUAUUUUUUUUGGUAGGCCAUCUAGAAAAAAAAUUGAGUGAAAAUCAGAUGAACAUAAAAUGAUUUUUGACACAUUUGGCAAAUGGUAGUGUUUUCAGAAGUUUGCUCACAAAAACUGUUGUGUAAGCAUCCACUUGCUCAGUUUGAGUAAGAGGGUUUCUUGCCAGGAAGGGGAAAAAAAAAGAUCACCAGUUGGCAAUAUUCAUCCUUUCCACUCAUAUUUUCUUUGCCUAUGACUCCCAAGGCAUUUGGUGGAAACGGCAGUGUUGCUUGUAUAUUUACAGCUAAAGCACAAGAGACUAAAGUGAAGAUAUGAAAACAUGAAUGCUGGAAAAGUUACGUUCCUGGAAAAGAGACACACAGAUGAGCUGACAAAGAAACCUGAUGCUCAGAACCACACUAAGAACCUGCAGAUGCUCAGCAUUUAGGAAAAUCAAAACGCUUGUUUAGGAGCCUAAGUUACGCAUUAAGCGACUGCCCCAAACUUUCAUAACGCACUAGGAGAAGAGCAGGAAUAAGAAGAGCAUAAAAUAUUCAUAGUUAUCUAUCCUAACUACUAGACCAUAUAUUAUACCCCUUGUCUUUAUUUUUGGAAAAAAACCUGUAUGACCUGCCUUUUUUUAUUUUAUUUUUUUUUAAUAGAAACAUAAUCUGAGAAGCAAUUUUUAUGCUGGGCUGUUUUUUAACUGGGUUGGUGCUGAGGAAUUAAAAUAAUCUGCAAGUCUCACAUUUUGCUUUACAUAGUUAAUGUUACAAUGACUGCCCGAUUAUUUAUCAUUCUGUUCCAUUCAUAAAAUUGUGCCAUAUACCGUCAUGUAGGAGCUGUCCAGAAGUUGACAUGGCCUUUCAUUGCUAAAAACUUUGGUUUGGCAUGGAAUGAAGUCAAAUACAGGAAGGGAAUUAUUAUGGAAACUCUAAGAAUUUGAGACCUCAGCUAUCAGCAGACACAACAAAAAAAUUCCUCCUUUUAUUGGAAGGCGUGUAAUUACUGAUCAGACAAAAAUUGCCAAGAAAUAUUUCAAGAAGGUAUUUGGCUUCUGAAAGCUAAUUCUGCCAUCAGAGUACUUGCCAGACAUAAGCCGAGCAUCACAUUGUGAUAUUUUUUCUUAUAUGAAGAGAAGUUACAGAUAUAAAAAGGGUAAAAUUUUGGAGUUCAGGAUGUUACUGUCUGUUUCAAGGAACCCUACCGAAUGUCUUUACAACCUCGAAAGCUCCUUUAUUAAAGGAAAGAUAAACUCCAAAGAAUGUUGGUAAACUAACUUUUUUUCAUUGAAGUGGAUAAGAUUAUGAUGGAUAUACCUGCUUACAUUAUCAGAGUCUAGGAAUUUUAAGAUAAACUCAGGUUCCAGAAAAAUUCAAGCUAUUCACAAGUCAAAAUAAUUUUCAAAUGCAUCCUGUGAAAUAGAGCUAUACGUGUGAUGCUCAUGCAAAGAAUUUUCCAAGUUAGUUGGAGACAUUUAAGUGUGGCACUGAUUGCAUGUGUUUAACCUUUGCACGGUAACGGUGUUGCUUUCAGCCGGAAAUGAUGAAGCCACGCAUAGAACAUUUGCAUAUCUAAAAUAUGUUCAUAAACUAGACUUUAAUGAAGCAGUUUUCAAAAUUUUAUUGUCAUGUUUAUUCUAAGUUAAAAUGAUAUAUCGUACACAAGAGUAUCAAAAUAACAACAGUAUUAUUUUGCUAGUGUGACAGAACAAGCUCACAUAAGUAAAAAUAAGGAAUAUUUACUGCACAAAAGGAAGCAAAUGUGUUAGGCAUGGAUAAUAGUUAUUCAGAAAAUGUUAGCAUGGGGGAAAAUUAAGAAACGUUGCACAUCUCGGCUAUUCUUAACUAUGAUUUCAGCGGAAGCCACCUUUUUUCUGAACAGAGCUGGUUGUUAUGUGUACCUGCAUCUUCAUAUCUUAAAAUGACCUUAAAAAAUGUUAGGUGAAAGCUAAUUCUAAUUAACUACUAUUUAAUCAGUUAAUAUUUGAAAGGAUCAGCUUUGCAUGGAAGAAGUAUAGGGCUAAAUCUGCAAAGAAUACAAUGCUGGGUAGCGCAACACCUAACUUUAAGGCACCCUGCCAGCUAGCGGGAAUUUUUGCUCCAAGAUUAGGCACGUCUCUUCCUUAAUGAAUGGAGAAGAAGAGCUAAGUCAGCUCAGAGCAAUGUCGCUGGAGACCAGCAAGCUGAACUCUUCCAGAGAAAAACAACAAGAUGCCAGCUGUAUCCCUUAGAGUAAGGCAUUUAACUCAGGUUUCUCCACUCUGGUCUUUGAAUUAAACAUCUCCAAACUGGCCAAAGGAAAUCCCAUCCCAAUAUGUAAAGCAUUCACCUGAGUAGGGACCUGUUUUCAAAAAUCUCUUCUGCUUUAGCUUGAAAAUGUAUUUCUCUGGCUUCCUGGUUCUUUUUGUUGAAUUUUUUUACUUAGUAUAUAUUGCAUACUUUGAGAGACGGGGAGGAAAGUGCAUUUGAUCAAUCAACUUGAUAGUUAUAUAUUCCUUGGCAGAGGAGAGAAUGGUAUGCGGGUUCCUGGUCCAAUGAACAUUUACUUUAUUUAUGCAGAGAAGUGCUUCAGUGGGACAGGCUGGUACCGAAUCAUCAUAAGCUGCCAGGAUUACUGAGGGAUGGCUGUGGUAAUCAAGGAAAUUAGUGCAAUCAGUAUUCAAACACAGGGCCAUAUAUAUGCAGAGACAGAAUAUGAAGCCAGAGACCCAUGAAUAUCACCUUUCUUCGUGUACACCACAAAGAAAACCAUCUCUCUGUAUAAGUCAAAAUAACAGUACUUCUGCCUUUUCAGAGUUUUUGUUGUUGAAUUCUGAAAAAUCAUGGAAAAUGCCAUUGUCUGAUGUGAAAAACUUUAUUAAGAUGAAUAAAAGGAAAAAGGUAAAACCAGCAAAAUCUUUUAUUCUGCGUACUUCUUAAGGGAAGCGUAAAGCAAGCCACAUGUGCAAAAUGGCAGAGAGAUCAGAUUGUUUUGUCUCUUUCUGCAGUGAGUUGAGCUGUAACCACCUGGCAGAGCGAGGAAUUGCUGCUCCACCAAACACUUAUCCCAUGGAGAGGUAGCACUCUCCUGCUAUUUCGUGACAGAGUAAAUAGUUUAACGUUUGUGUGAACGUGUGGCUGGAGGGGCACCCUGUUUACGACGGACUACGGAUGUCUGUGGAACGUUGCCCUUGAAGAAAUUGCAGUAUUUCCAGCAGGAAACCCAAAUGCUAAGCAGAUGUAAUUUUCUUCCAGCCCUAAACUAUUGGCCUCUUCAGUUUUAGGUUUAUACUGGCAGAAAAAUAUGCGCUUCAUUCAGUUUAACACUUUUAAGACAACGGUCACAAAACAAUGACGUUUCAGCCCUGUUGACAAAGACUGGAAGCCGCUGGGAAGAUCAUGCAGAUCUGCAUUUCCCUGAGGGCACACAGACUGCUCAUUAAAUCUACUCGGUCAUAUCACUUACGCAUUAAACUUAAAAAAUCAAAACAAAAAAAGAAA
Long non-coding RNA from Grus americana (Whooping crane), 6086 nucleotides. RefSeq lists it as uncharacterized. The record is from RefSeq and is a predicted model, not a curated record. NCBI's taxonomy places the organism in Eukaryota, Metazoa, Chordata, Aves, Gruiformes, Gruidae. The transcript is spliced from 11 exons.